RNAcentral lists this long non-coding RNA (4446 nucleotides) under Homo sapiens (human). Its description in RNAcentral is "HSALNT0124023". The record is from RNAcentral. Lineage: Eukaryota; Metazoa; Chordata; Mammalia; Primates; Hominidae.
GAGGGAAUGGGUGCCUCUGUCCAGGAGCUGAAGUUCUGGGUAGCACAUGACAGUGUCCACUACACCAUGGAGCCCUGCUUUGAAGAAGCACCUGUGCCUCUUGUGCUCUAUGGAACAUGCUUUGGGAAUGCUGCCUAUAAGACUGCAGUUUAGAGAUAAGCAAUCUGUAAUUGGAAGCUAUGGGUCUAAUUGUAUUUAUCCAUCCAGAGCAUCUAGUAUAGCAAACUGUGAUACUACAUGAGCCUACCUAGUUUAGGCACUUUGGGCAAGUUUAGGCACAAUUUAGGCACAAUCUGUAAGGCAAGCUUAGAAUAUCUGCCUAUAGUAUCUAGAAAUAAAUGAUGUUGAGUGUCUUACAGUGUAAUGCAGACUUAAGCUAGUUAGUGGUGGAACUGAGACUUGGAGAGGUGCCUGGCUCUCAGGUCAGUUUUGUUCCAUUGCACCCACAAGCCCUUGGUUCUGGAGACAGAGAUGUGAAGAAAUUAUACUGAGGAAUACCUUCACCAAAAGGGCAGCCAACCUUAUGAUUUGGACAUUCUAUUUUGAGACCAGUUAAAAGAGAGAAAUUUCAAUUCAUUUCUCAUUUGUCAUUCACCAGGUCUUGGAUGUCCCUGGGCAAUGCUAAGCUAACAUUCAGCAGUGUCUACAAGAUGACACACAACAUGUUGAAAGAAUGGAGCGGUGAUUCCCUUGGAAGGAUGUGAAAAGCUUUCCAAUCUCGAGGUGAUAUCAGAGCUCUUUCCCAUUGAAACACUUGGAUGCUCUUUCUCCAGCUAUCAUGCUCUCUUUUUUCCACUCAAGGUGAUGCCUAAAUGAACGUGUGUCCACCCUUACCCCAUGACAUCAUCCAAAAGCCAAUCCAUCCAUCUGUGCAUUCAGGCUUAAUACUGAUGACGCUCCAUCUCCAUUUUCAGAAACUUUCUUGGCUCCUUUUUGCUCAAUUUUUGGCUUUUUCUGGGCUCCAGGCAUGCAUCAUUGCACCUUCUGACUCUCCAUUUUGUUAUGCAUGAUCUGCCCUACUCCACGCCUUGAACUUGGGGGCAGACUUAGUUCUUCCAUUUUGUGUCUCUGAGAAAUGGAUUUCUUUUUCUUUUUCUUUUCUUUUCUUUUUUUUUUUUUUUGAGAUGGAGUCUUGCUCUGUCAUCAGGCUGGAGUGCAGUGGCACAAUCUCUGCUCACUGCAACCUCUGCCACCCAGGUUCAAGUGAUUCUCCUGCCUCAGCCUACCAAGUAGCUGCGACUACAGGUGCCCAACGCUACGCCCAGCUAAUUUUUGUAUUUUUAGUAGAGAUGGGGUUUCACCAUGUUGGUCAGGAUGGUCUCAAUCUCUUGACCUCAUGAUCUGCCCGCCUCGGCCUCCCAAAGUGCUGGGAUUACAGCCAUGAGCCACCGCACCUGUCCAAGAAAUGGAUUUCUUUUGCCCCAUGAUUUUGUAUCCUUGGCCGCUUUAAAUAAUUCUAUCGACACAAGGGCUGGUACUUGGAUCCCAUCCUUAACAUUCAUCUGAAAGGUCUACAACCCUAACAUGAGACAGCAGGACCAUCUGGGGUUACAACUUGCUCAGACUGGUUAUGAAUAGGGUGUGCAUUCUGGCUCAAGCAGUGUGGAAGCCACUCAGGAUAACCACACUGCUGACAUCUUCAUAGGCACCUCAUCAUAACAAAAUUUUAAAAUUUAAAUAUAAUUUUAAUGAUUUUCAGAAAAGAAGAGAAUGCAGGUUCCCACAGAUACUGCAAGCCCCCUCAAGCUUAGGCAGUGGCCCUAACUUAGAUCUCUCUUCCUUCUAGAUCAACACAGCUGGUAAGUUAGGUCUCAGCUCAUGUAACACUUUCACUUCAACAUCCCUAGGGCACAGUUUCUGGGUUCUCAGCUAAUAUUUGUUAAAUGAAUGAAAAACUGUCUGUGUAUCUCUUUUAUCAUCAAGUGAUUCAGACCCCAAAGUUUUAUACCCUCAGAAAAAAAGUCAAGCGUUGCCAAAAUGGAUUUAUAUUUGCACUGUAUUUUUCAUUCCAAUGGCAGCUCAAAGUACCAUUUGGUGCUGUAAGCAUGAAUGAAAAUUGUGCAGGGCUUCUCACGGGCAGAAUAAUAAGUCACAUCAGCUCUCCAUCCAGACUGUAUCCAUCUGGGUCCUUCAUCCUCAUCUCCCAAUAGCAUCUACUCUUCUUACUCUGAAAAAGAUGACAGCUAUAUUUGUGGUUCAGUUGAGUGAAUUAGAGAUAAUUUCCCCUUUCUCUACACCAGCUGUUUUCUUAAGAUCAAGAGGGUGGUAAAUUCUCAUUGUGUUCUCUUCUCAGCACAAGAGCACCCAACCUCAGGAUUAGUCUCUUCUGUUUAAGAAGAGCAAUCAUUUGCCACUUGACUUUUCACUUCCUUCUGUCAGAGGGGGUCAGUAUUUUUUAAGCAACUGCGUGUCAAUUGCUUCCCUGUCAGCAUUUCAUCAUUACUAGGCUGACCUCUCUUUAAAGAGCCUUUCUACUUCAAAAACAUAGAGAUGUAUUUGAGAAUGGGGUGAAGAAAGGCCAUUGGAGGGAUAUAUAAUAAGGCAUCAUUAAUGAAUGCCAGUUAAAAAAUCUAACACACAUUUUUAUCUUUGAGUUCUUAGGGAAACUUUGAAAAGUUACAUUUGAAUAAACAGCCCUUGGAAAGGAGCACAAUUUAAUUAAUUCCUUAGACGUUUAUUGUGAGCCUACAAAGGGUAAGACCCUGUCUGUCUUGAUCCUGUCUUGCUCAGCAAUGGAGGGUUCAUAACGGCACCUGCCUGGUUGGAGAGAGGUUUAAGCAGAUGACAAGGAGGAAGUGCCUGGUGCAGGAUAAGGCCUCAGGAAUGGCCCAGGUUGUCCCUGCUUGGAGCUUCAGGUAGAUUACAAUCUAGCAAAGAGGCAAAACAAAGCAAAACAACAACAAAGAUUUUGUCCUAAGGCAAACACAUUUUGCCUUAAGACAAAAUAUUGGAAAAUGCCAUAUGUCUUUUGUCUAAGGUCAAACCAUGCCUUAUGGGAGGGCAAAGGUAAGGGAGGUUGUACUAAUCUGCUCUCACACUGCUAAUAAGACAUACCCGAGACUGGGUAAUUUAUAAAGGGAAGAGGCUUAAUGGACUCACAGUUCCAUGUGGCUGGGGAGGCCUUGCAAACAUGGCAGAAGAUGAACGAAGAGCAAAGGUACUUCUUACAUGGUGGUGGGCAAGAGCACAUGUGCAGGGGAACUCCCCUUUAUAAAACCAUCAGGUCUCAUCAGACUUAUUCACUGUCAUGAGAACAGCACAGGAAUGACCCGUCCCCAUGAUUCAAUUAUGUCCCACUGGGUCCCUCCCACAACAUGUGGGAAUUAUGGGAGCUACAAUUCAAGAUGAGAUUUGGGUGGGGACACAGACAAACCAUAUCACAGGUUAUCUGUGCAUCAGAGAUUCUCCUCAUGGCCAAGGUUAUAUUUGCUCUAGGUGUUGAAGAAUAGGUAGAAUUUCCAUAUGCGUGGAUGUGAGUAGGAUAUUCUAGACUAUAAACAAAAAGUAGGGGUUUCAACCAGUGCCAACUGAUACUUUAUACUGCCUGGGCAUGCCAGGAAAGGUGGAAGUCAAUGCAUUCCAAGGACUGAGGGGUUCCUGGGUGGUCUUUUAUCUUAAGAGGUGAAGGAAUGAGACAUGGCGAGCCCUAACCAUCCAGUUGGAGUCAUGAUGAGAUCACAACUGCAUAACUAGAAAGAUUGGUCUGCAGGACCUAUAAGAGAUAUUGAGGGGAGAGACUUAGGGUUGGGAAGGUGUAAGGAGGACAUUGAGAAAGUUCAGGUCAGGGGUCAUUAUGUCUUUGACUAGGGCUGUAACCAAGGAACUUGAACGUAUGAAAUAGUGGCUGUAGAACUUGCAUGUAGGAGGUACUUGGGGCUGGCAAUUGGCUUGGAGGGAUGCCUAGAAGACUUGGCUUGAAAUGGGUGUGCAGAGCCAGAUCAGGGCUCUAACUCAGAUUCAACAUCUUGGUUAUUUACAGAAGCUGUGUAUGUGUAUGGCAGGGAGUGCUCAUGGAGAGAUAAUGAGAGGUAGAGUAAAUUACCCCCAAGAUACACUUUUAGCAUUUUCACUAGAAAAGAGGGUGGAGAUGAGUUUGAAAUCAAAAUCGUUAUCACCUUCAAUGUCUUAAUUAGGUUUCAGACUUCUCUUUCUUCCCUUGUAAAAUGAGAAGAAUCUAAUGGAUUUUAUGCAAUGUUACUUUAAACAUUAUGAAUCUAUGGAUUUCAUGCUUGUUUCCCUUGAGAGUCUGUCAAUUCUGUGGUUUGAUUUGUAAGAGUAGAUCUUGCCAAUUUUUGUCAUUUUCAUGGUUGCUACCAGAGGCUUCAGGAAGCCAGAGGAUGGUUGUAGCUGUAGUUUUGAGGUGGUUUUGCUUUUCUUUUUUUAAUUUUAAUUUUAAUUUUAUUUAUUUAUUUAUUAUUAUUAUUAUUUUUGACAUGAAGUCUUGCC